UGAACAUUGAUGCAAAAAUCCUCAAUAAAAUACUGGCAAACCGAAUUCAGCAGCACAUCAAAAAGCUUAUCCACCUGACACCUGUCUUAUUGCCCGCUUCUUGCCUGUGCAGUCUUGUGUACCAUCAACAUCUGGUUUGUUCCACUUUACAAAUGCACACAGCAGUGAAGGCUGCUACUGGCACUGGGAUUCUUUGCAUCCACCUCAAUAGCUGAAGCCUCCUUGGGGCCCUUGGGUGAUGUAACAAGUUGCAGGUGCCAUCAGAAUUUGGAGGCCAAAAAAGUAAUGGUGGUGGUCCAAGGUGGACAUCUGUCAAAUGGGUAGUUUGAAAGAUGGAUUCAGGAGCUGAGAUGCUGUGUCUAUUAUGGAUGUUGAGACAGAGAAUCAUGUUAUCUAACUUUUGGGAAGAGUGGAAAACGUCAUCUCGUCCCACAACUGCCAGGAGCGAUGCAAUGGAGGAUUCGAAAUCACGUGCCGCGACAAGCUAGAGUUACUCCUCCAAGCCACCAGGUGUCACUGGUGUGCCAAGGCGGCAACGAAGCCAAGUUUUCCCGGUGGAUGCGGACACUGGAAACCAGCAAUCCUUUUAGUUCCCCAACCUGGUUGCCCAUCAGAAUUCCUUGAGAAAUUUAAAUAAUAAUUCUUGGAAAUCACUUCAGACCCACUGAAUCAAUCGAGGCCCAGAAGUGAGUAUCUAAAAAAAAUUGUUAUAUGGAAAUUGUCAUUAUUUGGGAUGUGUGUGCUGGGGGAUUGCUGCUGUAUAUUAUAUCUCUAUUUAAAUAAAUGUCCCAGGUGAUUCUGUA
RNAcentral lists this long non-coding RNA (803 nucleotides) under Homo sapiens (human). RNAcentral's name for it is "HSALNT0384421". The record is from RNAcentral. Lineage: Eukaryota; Metazoa; Chordata; Mammalia; Primates; Hominidae.